UACGCUGUCUAGAGUUUGAUCAUGGCUCAGGACGAACGCUGGCGGCGUGCUUAACACAUGCAAGUCGAACGGUGAAGCCCUUCGGGGUGGAUCAGUGGCGAACGGGUGAGUAACACGUGGGCGAUCUGCCCUGCACUCUGGGACAAGCCCUGGAAACGGGGUCUAAUACCGGAUAUGACCUGCUCUCGCAUGAGGGUGGGUGGAAAGCUCCGGCGGUGCAGGAUGAGCCCGCGGCCUAUCAGCUUGUUGGUGGGGUGAUGGCCUACCAAGGCGACGACGGGUAGCCGGCCUGAGAGGGCGACCGGCCACACUGGGACUGAGACACGGCCCAGACUCCUACGGGAGGCAGCAGUGGGGAAUAUUGCACAAUGGGCGAAAGCCUGAUGCAGCGACGCCGCGUGAGGGAUGACGGCCUUCGGGUUGUAAACCUCUUUCAUGCAGGGAAGAAGCGCAAGGUGACGGUACCUGCAGAAGAAGCACCAGGCUAACUACGUGCCAGCCGCCGCGGUAAU
RNAcentral lists this ribosomal RNA (512 nucleotides) under uncultured Streptomycetaceae bacterium. Its description in RNAcentral is "bacterial SSU rRNA". It matches the Rfam family "Bacterial small subunit ribosomal RNA", at positions 1 to 524 of the family's 1533-position model. Lineage: Bacteria; Bacillati; Actinomycetota; Actinomycetes; Kitasatosporales; Streptomycetaceae. The record is from RNAcentral.